This 78-nucleotide transfer RNA is filed under the name Nitrososphaerota archaeon. Its description in RNAcentral is "Thaumarchaeota archaeon tRNA-Arg". It matches the Rfam family "tRNA". Rfam says of the family: Transfer RNA (tRNA) molecules are approximately 80 nucleotides in length. Their secondary structure includes four short double-helical elements and three loops (D, anti-codon, and T loops). Further hydrogen bonds mediate the characteristic L-shaped molecular structure. tRNAs have two regions of fundamental functional importance: the anti-codon, which is responsible for specific mRNA codon recognition, and the 3' end, to which the tRNAs corresponding amino acid is attached (by aminoacyl-tRNA synthetases). tRNAs cope with the degeneracy of the genetic code in two manners: having more than one tRNA (with a specific anti-codon) for a particular amino acid; and 'wobble' base-pairing, i.e. permitting non-standard base-pairing at the 3rd anti-codon position. The record is from RNAcentral. Lineage: Archaea; Thermoproteati; Nitrososphaerota. RNAcentral also lists the same sequence under 1 other name.
GGGCCCGUCGUCUAGCACGGAUAGGACACGAGGCUUCGAACCUCGGUGUCGCGGGUUCAAAUCCUGCCGGGCCCGCCA